Long non-coding RNA from Condylura cristata (star-nosed mole), 234 nucleotides. RefSeq lists it as uncharacterized. The record is from RefSeq and is a predicted model, not a curated record. Lineage: Eukaryota; Metazoa; Chordata; Mammalia; Eulipotyphla; Talpidae. The transcript is spliced from 2 exons.
CGCGCCCGCGCAGGUCAGCAUCGGCAGCCCCGAGAAGAUGGAGCCCAUCACCAAGGUGUCCCACAUCCCCAGCAGCCGCUGGGCGCUGCUCUGCUCCCUGUGCAGCGAGAAGCUCGGCGCGUCCAUCCAGUGCUCCGUGAAGAACUGCCGCACCGCCUUCCACGUGACCUGCGCCUUUGAGCGGGGCCUGGAGAUGAAGACCAUCCUGGCGGAGAACGACGAGGUCAAGUUCAA